AUGCCCAUCACCCCACAUUGUGCACUAGUGGUCCCAAAAGAUUCAAAGUCCAAGAUAGCAACCCUUCAAGACGAGCUGAUUGUGAAUCUUCUUAAGGAAGAACAGAUUCCCCAGAAUAAAAUUACAGUUGUUAUGGUUGGUGCUGUAGGCAGAUGAGCUUGCCUUUGUUGAUGUCAUGGAAGACAUGCUGAUGGGAAAGAUGAUGGAUCUCCAGUGUGGCAGCCUUUUUCUUAGAACAACAAAAUUGUCUCCAGCAAAGACUACUAUGUGACUGCAAACUCCAAGCUGGUCAUUCACAGCAGGGGCCCGUCAGCAAGAGGAAGAGAGCCGGCUCAAUUUGGUCCAGCGAAACCGGAACAUCUUCAAGUUCAUCAUUCCCAACAUUGUGAAGUACAGUCCACACUGCAAGCUGCUUAUUGUCUCAAAUUCCGUGGCUAUCUUGACCUACGUGGCUUGGAAAAAUCAGUAACUUUCCCAAUAGCCGAGUUAUUGGAAGUGGUUGUCAUCUGGAUUCAGCUCGGUUCCGUUACCUGAUGGGAGAAAGGCUGGGAGCUCACCCGCUGAGCUGUCACGGGUGGGUCCUGGGAGAGCAUGGCGACUCCAGUGUGCCUGUGUGGAGCGGUGUGAACGUUGCCGGUAUCUCUCUGAAGACUCUGAACCCAGAACUGGGCACUGAUGCAGAUAAGGAGCAGUGGAAGGAUUGCAGAUCCUCUCUGGGGAAUCCAGAAGCUUCACUGUCCAGGCUGCAGCAGGGUUUCUAUGGAGACCACACACUGUCUCCUUCUCAUCUGAGCCGUGGUUAG
Molecule: non-coding RNA, 803 nt
Organism: Arvicanthis niloticus (Nile rat)
Lineage: Eukaryota; Metazoa; Chordata; Mammalia; Rodentia; Muridae
Source: RefSeq, a predicted model, not a curated record